UGGGGAAUAUUGGACAAUGGGCGAAAGCCUGAUCCAGCAAUGCCGCGUGAGUGAUGAAGGCCUUAGGGUUGUAAAGCUCUUUUACCAGGGAUGAUAAUGACAGUACCUGGAGAAUAAGCUCCGGCUAACUCCGUGCCAGCAGCCGCGGUAAUACGGAGGGAGCUAGCGUUGUUCGGAAUUACUGGGCGUAAAGCGUACGUAGGCGGUGACUCAAGUCAGAGGUGAAAGCCUGGAGCUCAACCCCAGAACUGCCUUUGAAACUAGGUCGCUAGAAUCACGGAGAGGUGAGUGGAAUUCCGAGUGUAGAGGUGAAAUUCGUAGAUAUUCGGAAGAACACCAGUGGCGAAGGCGGCUCACUGGACGUGUAUUGACGCUGAGGUACGAAAGCGUGGGGAGCAAACAGGAUUAGAUACCCCCGUAGUCCCUGAGCGGGCUGGCAAGGCGCAU
RNAcentral lists this ribosomal RNA (447 nucleotides) under uncultured bacterium. RNAcentral describes it as "bacterial SSU rRNA". It matches the Rfam family "Bacterial small subunit ribosomal RNA", at positions 355 to 825 of the family's 1533-position model. The record is from RNAcentral.